This 563-nucleotide ribosomal RNA is filed under the name uncultured bacterium. Its description in RNAcentral is "partial 16S ribosomal RNA". It matches the Rfam family "Bacterial small subunit ribosomal RNA", at positions 355 to 932 of the family's 1533-position model. The record is from RNAcentral.
UGGGGAAUAUUGCACAAUGGGCGCAAGCCUGAUGCAGCAACGCCGCGUGAGGGAUGACGGCCUUCGGGUUGUAAAACCUCUUUUAGUAGGGAAGAAGCGAAAGUGACGGUACCUGCAGAAAAAGCACCGGCUAACUACGUGCCAGCAGCCGCGGUAAUACGUAGGGUGCGAGCGUUGUCCGGAAUUAUUGGGCGUAAAGAGCUCGUAGGCGGUCUGUCGCGUCUGCUGUGAAAACCCGAGGCUCAACCUCGGGCCUGCAGUGGGUACGGGCAGACUAGAGUGCGGUAGGGGAGAAUGGAAUUCCUGGUGUAGCGGUGGAAUGCGCAGAUAUCAGGAGGAACACCGAUGGCGAAGGCAGUUCUCUGGGCCGUAACUGACACUGAGGAGCGAAAGCGUGGGGAGCGAACAGGAUUAGAUACCCUGGUAGUCCACGCCGUAAACGUUGGGCGCUAGAUGUGGGGACCAUUCCACGGUUUCCGUGUCGCAGCUAACGCAUUAAGCGCCCCGCCUGGGGAGUACGGCCGCAAGGCUAAAACUCAAAGGAAUUGACGGGGUCAUAGCUG